Molecule: ribosomal RNA, 253 nt
Filed under: uncultured bacterium
Lineage: Bacteria
Description: partial 16S ribosomal RNA
Rfam family: Bacterial small subunit ribosomal RNA
Source: RNAcentral
UACGUAGGGGGCAAGCGUUGUCCGGAAUCAUUGGGCGUAAAGAGCGUGUAGGCGGCCAGAUAAGUCCGCUGUGAAAACUCGAGGCUCAACUUCGAGCUGUCGGUGGAAACUAUUUGGCUAGAGUCCGGAAGAGGAGAGUAGAAUUCCUGGUGUAGCGGUGAAAUGCGCAGAUAUCAGGAAGAACACCCGUGGCGAAGGCGGCUCUCUGGUACGGAACUGACGCUGAGACGCGAAAGCGUGGGGAGCGAACAGG